Molecule: ribosomal RNA, 158 nt
Filed under: uncultured bacterium
Lineage: Bacteria
Description: partial 16S ribosomal RNA
Rfam family: Bacterial small subunit ribosomal RNA
Source: RNAcentral
CAGGCCUGGGACGGGACCAACGCCGGGGGGGUGAUGGAGGUCUUCGGAUCGUAUAACUCUGUUGUUAGGGAAGAACAAAGUUGGUAGUAACUGAACAAGUCUUGACGGUACCUAACCAGAAAGCCACGGCUAACUACGUGCCAGCAGCCGCGGAAAUA